AUGAUUUUAGAAAAUAAGGGCGAUAUUAUUUUUUCUCUUAGUUAGAAUUUAGAACCUAUGAAAUAACUAAUUUAAAUUUUAAUAAAUAAAAAAGAAUGAAAUAAGGGCGCAAUUGUUAAAGAAAUAAAAACAUAAAACAUUAAUUGUUGGAAAUUGGAGUGUGUUCUUUAAGGACUUUUUCACUCGGUUUUUAACUAACCGAGGGAAUAGAUAACUUUUAUUGAACACAAAAAAAUAGUGAACAGUAAGAAAUAUCAUACACAACUUCUUAUUAUUGACCAUUUUCU
RNAcentral lists this long non-coding RNA (287 nucleotides) under Lathyrus oleraceus (garden pea). Its description in RNAcentral is "Pisum sativum (pea) long non-coding RNA (PSAT_LNC011370)". The record is from RNAcentral. Lineage: Eukaryota; Viridiplantae; Streptophyta; Magnoliopsida; Fabales; Fabaceae.